RNAcentral lists this ribosomal RNA (390 nucleotides) under Podogymnura truei minima. RNAcentral describes it as "partial small subunit ribosomal RNA". The stretch from base 45 to 390 matches the Rfam family "Bacterial small subunit ribosomal RNA", at positions 875 to 1384 of the family's 1533-position model. Lineage: Eukaryota; Metazoa; Chordata; Mammalia; Eulipotyphla; Erinaceidae. The record is from RNAcentral.
GUCUAGCCGUAAACAUAACUAGUCACAAACAAGACUAUUCACCAGAGAACUACGAGCCACAGCUUAAAACUCAAAGGACUUGGCGGUGCUUCAUACCCCCCUAGAGGAGCCUGUUCUAUAAUCGAUAUACCACGAUACACCUCACCAAUUCUUGCUAAUUCAGUCUAUAUACCGCCAUCUUCAGCAAACCCUGAUUAAGGAACAAAAGUAAGCAUAAUCAUUUCUACAUAAAAACGUUAGGUCAAGGUGUAACUCAUGAAUUGGGAAGCAAUGGGCUACAUUCUUUAACUAAAAGAAUUAACGAAAGUUUCUAUGAAACUAGAAACCAAAGGAGGAUUUAGUAGUAAGCUAAGAUUAGAAAGCUUAACUGAAAGAGGCAAUGAAGCACGU